ACACAACUGAGUAUAUAUACGGAAACUCAACAGUUUUUGCGCAUUGCAUUGCGAUCUUGUGGAAAUUGGUUUUUAAAAUGGGUAAACUGUAUUAUUGUCGAGUUUUGGUAAUUGUCAUUUUCGCGAUUUUAUUUGCCUACAGUACAGUUUUGGGCAAACCGGGCGACCGGUAGAAAGAAUGAUGCGAACAGCCAUACAUUUCUGGAAACAUAACUGCAACAUUAAUAAAAUUAUGAAACGUAUCUACCAACAAUGCAGUAUUAUCACCUCUUCAACUUAAUCAAUUUAUACAUCUUUUACAUGUUUACUUGUAGUGUAUGAUUGAUUGAUUCCAAUAGAGUAGGUGGGUAUAUUGUUCCCAAAAUUAAAAACACAAUAAAUUGCGUUCAUAUUUA
Photinus pyralis (common eastern firefly) is the source of this 395-nucleotide long non-coding RNA. RefSeq lists it as uncharacterized. The record is from RefSeq and is a predicted model, not a curated record. The transcript has 2 exons. NCBI's taxonomy places the organism in Eukaryota, Metazoa, Arthropoda, Insecta, Coleoptera, Lampyridae.